RNAcentral lists this long non-coding RNA (605 nucleotides) under Heterocephalus glaber (naked mole-rat). RNAcentral describes it as "lncRNA (ENSHGLG00100051610.1)". The record is from RNAcentral. Lineage: Eukaryota; Metazoa; Chordata; Mammalia; Rodentia; Bathyergidae.
GUGAAGUAAAUUGCGGUAUUUCAUAAGUUUUAUAGUUGAUGUUCAAAAUAUUAAAAUAUGUCUUUGUCCCGAUUUUGAAAGUGAAACAUUUUUACAUUUAUUGAAUUGUUAAAUGAUGUUUGUGUGUUUCAGAGUUUUUUGUGUGUGUGUCUAAUGCAUAUACUGUAUUGCAUAAUGUCUUUUGAGAGUUAUAAUAAGGGCUUGGGGCUUUCCUUACUAGAAGAGAGCUCCCUGAGUACAUGAUCUUUCUUGUUCACCCUUAUAUGUUCAAGCCUGGAAUAUAGCUCAUGCUCAACAAAUGAAAGACCAAAUUUUCUUUUAUCAGGCCCUUCAACUGAACAAAACAAUGACUGAAACAAACACAAUGGAAUUAAUAUUCUCUUCACAGCUAAACAGAUCUUUUAUUCUCUCUCCCAGGCCUGAGGCCUCAUGCCUGCUGCUUUAGAAGAGAUUUAGCAAUAGCCUUGUCUACCUCAAACUGAUUGAAACCACCAACCCCUUCAUUUGGCCUGCACAGGUGUCCAGUUGGUGAGCCCUUACUCUCAGAUGGCCAAAAACUCCACCCUCAGCUCAGGCCACCCCAUCUCUUCAUCCCACAAAUAUCC